This is a non-coding RNA of Vanrija pseudolonga, 76 nucleotides long. Lineage: Eukaryota; Fungi; Basidiomycota; Tremellomycetes; Trichosporonales; Trichosporonaceae. The record is from the annotation of a RefSeq genome assembly.
GCUACUGUAGCGCAGAUGGUCAACGCGCUGGCUUUGGGUGCCAGAGAUCCUGGGUUCGACUCCCAGCAGUGGCCGG